CGACUACAUGAAGCUGGAACCGCUAGUAAUCGCGAAUCAGCAUGUCGCGGUGAAUACGUUCCCGGGUCUUGUACACACCGCCCGUCGCACCAUGGGAGUCAGUAACGCCCGAAGCCGGUGACCCAACCAAGAAUGGAGGGAGCCGUCGAAGGUGGGACCGAUAACUGGGGUGAAGUCGUAACAAGGUACC
RNAcentral lists this ribosomal RNA (190 nucleotides) under uncultured bacterium. RNAcentral's name for it is "partial 16S ribosomal RNA". It matches the Rfam family "Bacterial small subunit ribosomal RNA", at positions 1313 to 1500 of the family's 1533-position model. The record is from RNAcentral.